Molecule: long non-coding RNA, 1206 nt
Organism: Raphanus sativus (radish)
Lineage: Eukaryota; Viridiplantae; Streptophyta; Magnoliopsida; Brassicales; Brassicaceae
Exons: 3
Source: RefSeq, a predicted model, not a curated record
AGGAGGAUGAGGAGAGUGACGCAGAUACAGAUUUUGCGGUUGCGUUUUCUUCGUUUUUUACCGCCGUUAGCAGCAGAUUGCGUUUCCAUGGCAGCGUUUGUCUUGGGGGCUUCUGAUGCUAACAUGGGUGCUGCUUUCUUGUUAUACAAGGCGGAGGAAUGGGGUUUUGACUACGACGGCCAUGAAUCUGGGGUCUGAGUAUGUCGUAGUCCUCUACCAAGUCCUUUAUGAUUAAUGUAUAAAUCUUUUGGAUACACAUUUUUGUGGUUUAUGUUUUGCAGAUUUAACCAGGUUUUGUGCUUCUAAUGGAACAUAAAUUCUUGUGUUUUGGAGGAUUUAUGUAUGAAACUGUUAUGAGUGAUUUUCCCAGAGAGAUAGUUUCUUUCACAUUGUUAUAUGAUUUCAUUAUAAGAUUUGACAUGUUCAUAGGCCGUAAUAACACCAUUUUGAAAAUGUUUCAGAUUGUUGGAUCUGGGAACAUGAUCAAGAGCUUACAUAGGAGGGCUCUUUUCCCACGGGCUGUGAGCCACAGCAUCUCACUUCUUUGGAGACGAAUCUAUUCUCAAGUGGUAUGAUCAGAUUCUACAAUGACCAUAGAGAUAUGAGGCUUGACAUGACCAGACGUUUUUCUGAGAAGCUUGUGAUGCUUGAUCUCUCAUACAAUAGGUUCUGAGAUAUGAGGCUUGAGCCACAAUGGGUUUUUCUGGUUGUCUCCCUAGCAGAAUUUCUGAAACGAUUGACAAACUGGUUCUGAUUCUUCUUGAUCUCUCAUACAAAGGUUCUCUGGUGAUAUAAACCUCUCUAUUGCACGAAACAAAUUCUGUGGAACACUUCUUCUUGGUUGUUCAAGUUCGAGAAGAUGCAGAUGGUUAAUUCUUCCAGCACAAGAUUCUCUUAGUUUAUAUUGGACGAUAACUUAAACAGCACCCACUUGGCCUUCAAAGUUUUUCAGACAGCUGUAUCUUCAGGGCCACCACGGAAAGUAGAAAUUAAGAUAUCAGCAAAUGUUGUUGCUAAAGACGAACUAACCUUCAGCUACAAUCUGUUGUCAAUUGUUGGAAUCAUCAGAAACUAGGGUGAUCUUGCAAACAUUGAUGCUUCAAAAGAGGAAAUAUAUCAAAACGAUUUACAGCUUUAAUUUUAAAAAUAUUUGUAUACACAAUCUAUAUUAAAUCCAUAACUUAUACUGAGAUGUUUUAAAAAUAA